This 4245-nucleotide long non-coding RNA is filed under the name Homo sapiens (human). Its description in RNAcentral is "PREDICTED lncRNA (TCONS_00243043)". Lineage: Eukaryota; Metazoa; Chordata; Mammalia; Primates; Hominidae. The record is from RNAcentral.
ACAUUCACCACCGCGUGACGCGGCGCCGGGUCGCCGCCGCAGAUUCGACACAAAACCCGGAAGGACCCCGCCGAAGGUUUUCUCCGGUUCGGGAGAGAGACGGAGUCCCGCUCUGUCACGCAGGCUGCCAGGCUGGCGUACAGUGGCGCAAUCUCAGCUCGCUGCAACCUCCACCUCCUGGGUUCAAGCGAUUUUCUUGCCUCUGCCUCCUGAGUAGCUGGGAUUACUGGCACACACCACCAUGCACAGUUCCUUGUUCAAAAUGCCAAGAACCUGGAUGACUCAUAGUCAAGACCCUCCACCAGUAACAUAUAUUGGCGAGCCAGCCAGGAGCUUGGAACCCUCGGUGGACAGUGCCUAAGCACAGAGGCAACCACAGGUUUCUAACAGGGCCACUCUCUGGUGAAACUGAAAGGUUUCUGUGUGAAAGUGCCUGACCACCACUGCCCAAUUCAGACCACUACAGGAAACACUCCAUUUAUUCCACCUGACUUCCCACUUGGCUGCAUCCUCAACCAUUGAAAUGAAUUUGACCCUGAUAAUCUAAGGAGGAAACAUUUGAUAUUCUUUUGCAAUAAUACUUGGCCCCAGUAUUGUUUGGAAUCUGGAGUUUGCUGUUGAAUGGGAAAGCAGGAUGACGUUGCAUGUAUCCAGGCUUUGGUGCUGCUGUCCUAAGAAGGGUCAGGCCUAGUCAGCAUAUGGUGCUCUCCUUUGGUGCUAUUUGGCUCCAGUGUCUUUGGAGUCUGAGGAGGUUUGGCCUUUAAAAAUCAAACUGCCACCGGAACUGCUUUAAAAAUGUUUGGUUCACAGCCUUCACUGGAUUACCUAUUGGAGCAAACAAAGUGUAACCAUGUAAAACCUGUGAGCUUGUAUUGAUAUCUCAUGGCUAGAGUUCCAAGCGAAUGGGUCUCAUGAGAUCUGAUGGUUUUGAAAAUGGGAGUUGCCCUGCACAAGCUCUCCUUUUGCCUGCUGCCAUCCACAUAAGAUGUGAUUUGCUCUUCCUUGCCUUCCACCAUGAUUGUGAGGCCUUCCCAGCAUGUGGAAAUGGUCCAGCCUGCAAUAACUGAAGCCCCCAGACCUGGAACCUGAAGAUCCCAUCAGCCACUAAACCUGUGAACCUGUAGAAGACCUGAAGUACCUGUUUAAAAGGCAGCCAAAAGAUAAGUAAAUUCCUAUCAACUUUCCUUGGUGUCCUUCUUGUAUAUUUACUGUAAGCUGGAUAUAAUAGUAGCCAUUUUUAUAUUUUUACAAUUUAAUUGCUUUCUUCCAAAUGGAUUGAAUCACUUCUUUUAAAGUGUUUUAAUUAAUUUUUAUCUAUAGAACAAAAUAACAAAUAAGUAUUUUUUUUUUAUACCAUAAUGGUCACCCACAGCCUGUGUAUACUAAGACCAUGCAUACUGAUAAUCAGCUUUAUUUUACAAAAGAGUUUCGCUUUACCCCUCUGGUAAUUAAUGGAUUCUGGGUAUUUAUUAAAAACUUUAACACAAAGACUGUUAAAUACCACCAGUCCAGCUUUGGCAAGGCACUGUUGGCUUUGUUUAUCUCCAUCAUCAUCCAAACAGACUACCAAUCCUGAUCCCAGCCCAAUCUUGGGCCCUUGAAAAAAUAACUUAACAUCCUAACUACAAGGGAGAAACUCCUUUCAAAUUAAUGAACCUGGCUGACUUAUAUAGCCUUAAAAUUAUGGAAAUGACAAGGGUUACAAUGUCAGAAUGAGCAGUAAACCUUCCCCAGUCCUAUCAGAGCAAACUUUCUGGGGUUGCAUCCCCUCAGAAACCCAUUUGGGGCCCAAUCUCAAUGCACAUAUCAGUGCGCAAAGCACUAAAAUUCCAGGCAACACUUUGUAUUGAGAGAAGCCAAAAUUUUGGUCCCGCCCUGGGACAUCUAAAGUCACCAAUGUAACUACACCAUACAGAUUAAACCCUCACAUGAUCAUGUAAGCUAUGCAGUUACCCAAGCUGCAUCAUUUAGAAAACCUGUACAGUUUUUAUGGAAACCAUCCCUAGUCAAGGACACUUUAAAUAUAUAGUCUAAAUACCGUUAAGGUAGGCCCACUAGCUGUGUUCACAUUUUCCCUUGGCCACCUUACCAGGGACUUUAAUAACUUGGGAAAGUGAAAACAACAAGCUAACCCACAUGUUCACCAUAGAAAACAAUUUUGUCUUGAAAAACAAGGACUCUUUUUCCCGUGUGGGACCAGUUCCUACUUAUGUUUUACCAGCCAAUUGGACUGGAACCUAUACAGUUGUUUAUUUAGCCCCCGAAAUUAAUAUAGCUCCCAACAACCAAUCCUUCAUUAUACUUUUAACUGCAACCACCAGACACAAAUGAGCCAUCCAACUGAUACCACUUUCGGUAGAGCUAGGAAUAACAGCAGGAGUAGGAAUGAGAGUUAGCAGCCUUGCAGUUUCCCUAUCCUAUUACCAAUGCUUGUCCAAGGAUUUUAUGGAAAGCUUAGGUGACAUUGCCCAAAAGUAUCAUCACCUUACAAAAUCAGAUAGAGUCUUUGGCAGUGGUGGCUUUGUAAAAUAGAAGGGGACUGGAUCUCCUAAAUGCUGAAGAAGGUGGCUUAUGUCUUUUUCCUAGAGGAAGAAUGCUGUUUUUAUGUCAACCAAACAGGAUUAGUAAGGGAUGCCACCCAAAAACUAGCCGAUUGGUACCAUAAGAUAUGACAACAGCUGUCUGAGUCAUGGGGCGCCUAGUCAAAAUGCUAAUUUGGGGCUCACAUCUCCUUCCUCUGGCCAGUCCACUAUUAAUUAUUAUACUUGCCUUGGCUUUUGGAUCAUGUUUGUUAAAUCUUUUAACCAGAUUUAUUUCUUCUUGCCUAGAGACCAUUAUGAUAAUGCAGCAGGGCCACCAGUCAGUUUCAGAUAAUGAUGUCAACCCCGGCCACCAAGAAGUAACCUUGUCUCCACUAGACAGAGCAGGGUGAGAGUUCUGUAAUCCCCAGUAGGUAGGGACUGUGCCCCAAGUCAGCAUGAAGUAGUUAUGGAAGAAAGACCAUGGGUCCCUCUGCCUCCCAGAAAGAUUUAUGGGGAUCACAUCUCUCAGGGGAAAAUGAGGCAGGAGAAUAGGGUCUGGAGACAGGGAACCUAAAGCUGAUUUGUGCUGAGUUUCUAGGAUUGAAUGAAAAGGAAAACCCCACCUCUCCACACCCAAGUAACAAAAGGAUCAGAGGCUACUCCCUUUGCACUGCAUUGCAGAUAAAAAAUGGAAAGUACCUCAGAUUGGUCCCCUCCCACAACCAAUCAGACUGGCCAUGGGCUACUCCUUCGUUUACAUAGGGUGUAACCAAGUAACCAAUGGGAAACCUCUAGCGGGUAUGUAAACCCCAGAAAAUUCUGUAACCAGUGCUCUUGAGCUGCUUGCUGGAGCCUACUCCCACUUUGUGAAGUGUACUUUCAUUUCAAUAAAUUUGUGCUUUCAUUGCUUCAUUCCUUCGUUGCUUUGUGUGUUUUGUCCAAUUCUUUGUUCAAAACACCAAGAACCUGGAUGACUCAUAGUCAAGAUCCUCUACCAGUAACACUUGAACUUUCUGGUUUGUCCUGAACAUCCCUCUUUCUUAAACAACCAGUCGUUUUAUUCUAGGCCAAAAUUUUACCAUACAAGAAUAUUUCUCAUAUACAAUUAUCUUCCUUCUAACUUUUCUUGCCAGAAAUACCUUUUAUAACUUUCUUUACAUUGCUUUUAUUUAACGAUUACUUUUACCUUGUUUCAUAAGUUUUAAAUAGCCUUGAAUUAGAUAAAAAAUUAUUUUCCUUUAAAUAAGAACACAUUUCUUUUUUUAGAAAAAUAUUUUUCUGUAAUUUUUUUUUUUUCUUGAGACAGAGUCUUGCUCUGUCACCCAGGCUGGAGUGCAGUGGCACAAUCUUGGCUCACUGCAAGUUCUGCCUCCCGGGUUCACGCCAUCCUCCUGCCUCAGCCUCCAGGGUAGCUGGGACUAGAGGUGCACACCACCACGCCUGGCUAAUUUUUUGUAUUUUUAGUAGAGACGGGGUUUCACUGUGUUAGCCAGGAUGAUCUCGAUCUCCUGACUAUGAUCUGUCUGCCUCAGCCUCCCAAAGUGCUGGGAUUACAGGUGUGAGCCACUGCACCUGGCCUAAUAUUUUAAAUUGGAAAUGACCCAGAUGUUUAAUGAGUACCUAUUAUUUAACUUAAUAUAAUUUUAGAUUCUAAAUUAUAUAACAAGUUUAAUCACAAGCAUUUAUUCCAUUACAUUUACCUAAUUAAUUUUUUUAAUAGUUU